AGCCUGCAGCAAUAUGAAAGCAAGCAGAGCUGAGGAUGGUAAACAGAACAGGGCACGCCUCGGCUCCGGGCAGCGCGUGAGCAGCG
This 86-nucleotide non-coding RNA is filed under the name Rhodosorus marinus. Lineage: Eukaryota; Rhodophyta; Stylonematophyceae; Stylonematales; Stylonemataceae. The record is from RNAcentral.